UCCCAUGCAUUCAAACAACAAGCAUCUUCACUGAGAAGAGUAGCAAUAAGGAAAUCAAAGAAGACAACCCACUCUCCCACAGAGCCCCAUUAGAGGAUAAGCCCAUCCCCAGCAGGGUCCGGCACAGAGGUUUUAAGGGGUGGACCAGGAAUAUAGCAAAUGCCCUGAUAAAGCUGUGUUGCUGCAUGCCAAGGAGAAAGAAACCUCGCCUGGGGCAGAACAGAAUCUCCCCCCAGAAAUGAGCCACAGGGAGAGUCCAGAGAACAAGCAGCAGGCAUAGCCCAGUGUCAUCUGGAAAUUCUUUCAUGUCCUCAGUAUAAACAGUAGGUGAUUUCAGACACAUGGCAAUGGAAAAGACACCAGCAGAAACUACAGCAGCAACAGGAGUAGCAACAAUAGCAGAAGCAGCAUUAGGCACAGCAGCAGCAGGAGGAGGAGAUCGAGGAGGGUAGGAGGAGGAGGAGGAAGAUGAAGAGAGGAGGAGAAAGAAGAGAAGGAGGAGGAAGAGAAGGAAGAGGAGGAGAAAGAGGAGGAUGAAGAGCAGGGGGAAGAUUUUGAUUCCCUGUCCCCGUGAGAAUUGCUGAUGACUACUUCUGGACACAGAUAUCAUGCUGAGAACUGUUUAUCAAAAUGAUUUAACAGAAUAUUAAUGUUCAUAGAAGACAUGUCAAUGUUCCUGAGGGCAUGCAGCCCUGGAAAAGAGAGCCAGAUGGCAGAGGCAAGCAGUGUGGAAUGUCCUUACUGAGGAAGACCUUCUCAAAGCUGAUGAUGUAAGAGGUAUGAAG
This 785-nucleotide long non-coding RNA is filed under the name Rattus norvegicus (Norway rat). RNAcentral's name for it is "long non-coding RNA NONRATT000220". Lineage: Eukaryota; Metazoa; Chordata; Mammalia; Rodentia; Muridae. The record is from RNAcentral.